Molecule: transfer RNA, 77 nt
Filed under: Sandaracinaceae bacterium
Lineage: Bacteria; Pseudomonadati; Myxococcota; Polyangiales; Sandaracinaceae
Description: tRNA-Arg
Rfam family: tRNA
About the family: Transfer RNA (tRNA) molecules are approximately 80 nucleotides in length.
Source: RNAcentral
GGAGGCUUAGCUCAGUUGGAUAGAGCGUCGGUUUCCGGAGCCGAAAGUCAGAGGUUCAAGUCCUCUAGCCUCCGCCA